RNAcentral lists this ribosomal RNA (492 nucleotides) under uncultured bacterium. RNAcentral describes it as "partial 16S ribosomal RNA". It matches the Rfam family "Bacterial small subunit ribosomal RNA", at positions 29 to 507 of the family's 1533-position model. The record is from RNAcentral.
AGUGAACGCUGGCGGUAGGCCUAACACAUGCAAGUCGAACGGCAGCACAGUAAGAGCUUGCUCUUACGGGUGGCGAGUGGCGGACGGGUGAGGAAUACAUCGGAAUCUACUUUUUCGUGGGGGAUAACGUAGGGAAACUUACGCUAAUACCGCAUACGACCUACGGGUGAAAGCAGGGGAUCUUCGGACCUUGCGCGAUUGAAUGAGCCGAUGUCGGAUUAGCUAGUUGGCGGGGUAAAGGCCCACCAUGGCGACGAUCCGUAGCUGGUCUGAGAGGAUGAUCAGCCACACUGGAACUGAGACACGGUCCAGACUCCUACGGGAGGCAGCAGUGGGGAAUAUUGGACAAUGGGCGCAAGCCUGAUCCAGCCAUACCGCGUGGGUGAAGAAGGCCUUCGGGUUGUAAAGCCCUUUUGUUGGGAAAGAAAAGCAGCAGGUUAAUACCCCGCUGCUCUGACGGUACCCAAAGAAUAAGCACCGGCUAACUUCGUG